AGAAUCAACGCUGGCGGCGUGCCUAACGCAUGCAAGUCGCACGAGAAAGGGUAGCAAUACCUGAGUACAGUGGCGCACGGGUGAGUAACACGUGAAUAAUCUACCUCCGAGUGGGGAAUAACUGAGAGAAAUCUUAGCUAAUACCGCAUAACACUUACGGGUCAAAGCAGCAAUGCGCUUGGAGAGGAGUUCGCGGCAGAUUAGUUAGUUGGCGGGGUAAUGGCCCACCAAGACGAUGAUCUGUA
Molecule: ribosomal RNA, 245 nt
Filed under: uncultured bacterium
Lineage: Bacteria
Description: partial small subunit ribosomal RNA
Rfam family: Bacterial small subunit ribosomal RNA
Source: RNAcentral